RNAcentral lists this ribosomal RNA (253 nucleotides) under uncultured bacterium. RNAcentral's name for it is "partial 16S ribosomal RNA". It matches the Rfam family "Bacterial small subunit ribosomal RNA", at positions 524 to 776 of the family's 1533-position model. The record is from RNAcentral.
UACGGGGGGGGCAAGCGUUGUUCGGAAUUACUGGGCGUAAAGGGUUCGUAGGUGGCUCGCUAAGUCAGACGUGAAAUCCCUCAGCUUAACUGGGGAACUGCGUCUGAGACUAGCGAGCUCGAGUGCAGGAGAGGAACGCGGAAUUCCAGGUGUAGCGGUGAAAUGCGUAGAUAUCUGGAGGAACACCGGUGGCGAAGGCGGCGUUCUGGACUGCAACUGACACUGAGGAACGAAAGCCAGGGGAGCAAACGGG